UUCAACCUCUUCACACAACAUCUCAAACCUUGUUAUCUCUUCCUUUUACACAUAUUAAAUGUGACAACCUUUUUGUUAAAUCCAGAGGAAUUCUUUGUCUCCUUACCCUUUUCAAAAACUGGAGGAGCCACUCAAAUUUUCAUAGAUUCUGCACAAGUCAAAGGCUAUUAGGACCUCACUAUCAGCCAAAUAAUAUCAACACGGCAUCGAUCUGAUACAUGUUUCAGGUAUAUGUGUUUCUCAGAUUGUUCUUAAUUAGUUCUUUGCUUCUUAGCAUGCUGACCUGCAGGACCUAUAGCUACUUCAUCAAAACCUUAUUUAACACCUGUCUACGAGGCAGGCAUGUGCUUUUAUACAGAAUCUGUUUUAACAAUUAUAAUUAUCUAACUCUAAUUGCUUCAUCAAUGUUGUUGUUCUCAGUCAACAUACUGUUAUGAUGAAUAAGAGACCGAGUAAUGAUGAUUAAUUAAUUAAAAGCAUCUGGAAAACCUAGCUCGCCUUUUCAUUCAAUUCAGACAGUCAAGAAACGUGGUUUUUCUGUGAUGACAUUGCUUUGGGUGUAUAUGUUCAUUAUCCAUCUUUAAAAGAGAUAACGGAAGAUAUAUCUCAAGUCGGUAUUCAUGGGAAAAAAUAUUUAUAUAUCUCUUAUCCUUAAUUAGGGUUUUUUUUUUUUUUUAGAUUUUCAAGGUUAAGAAAACUGAUUUUCUGUCCUUCAGAACAGAUUGCACUCUGAUCAUGAGUUUUAAUUGAUUUUUUGUAACUCAGGCAAUCUGAGUAGGAACUUUUGGAUCUUGAAAAGAUGCUGAAAUUGAGAAAAUAUCAUGAACUUGGAAACAGGAUAGACUGGGAGGAAUUUCUUUCUGAUAUAUGUACUGAUUUUUCUAUCCCAUUAGCUUUAACAUGAUUCACCAAAGUAGAAGGAAAAAGUAAUUUGAUCUAAGAGAAGGGGUAUUUUUUUCUUUUGUUAAUAAAAAACAAAACAGCCCUUCUGGUUUUAUGGGGAUGAAAAAUCCCUUUUUUUUUUCCUUGUGAAAUGAAACAGAAAGAUACAACUAUAUAUUGUUUUUGUCAUCUUUCUAUGCAGUCUAGGGUUUGCUGAAAUAUAAGUUUCCCACUCUCAGGUUUUGACAAUCUUGUUGGUAAACUGUGGAUACUUAUUGAAGGAAUGAUGUAUUUCCUUUGUAAAGGGAAGAAAGAGCCUGGUCCAUGCAUUGCUUGAUUUUCA
Molecule: long non-coding RNA, 1225 nt
Organism: Vigna radiata var. radiata (mung bean)
Lineage: Eukaryota; Viridiplantae; Streptophyta; Magnoliopsida; Fabales; Fabaceae
Exons: 2
Source: RefSeq, a predicted model, not a curated record